This 376-nucleotide ribosomal RNA is filed under the name uncultured bacterium. RNAcentral describes it as "bacterial SSU rRNA". It matches the Rfam family "Bacterial small subunit ribosomal RNA", at positions 521 to 896 of the family's 1533-position model. The record is from RNAcentral.
UAAUACGUAGGGGGCGAGCGUUGUCCGGAUUUAUUGGGCGUAAAGCGCGUGUAGGCGGCUUGGGAGGUCUCGCGUCAAAAGCUGCGGCUCAACCGCAGUUCGCGCGGGAAACCCCCUCGCUAGAGUUCGGAAGAGGAGAGCGGAAUUCCCGGUGUAGCGGUGAAAUGCGCAGAUAUCGGGAAGAACACCAGUGGCGAAGGCGGCUCUCUGGGACGUAACUGACGCUGAGACGCGAAAGCGUGGGGAGCGAACAGGAUUAGAUACCCUGGUAGUCCACGCCGUAAACGAUGGGCGCUAGGUGUGGGGGGUGUCGACUCCCUCCGUGCCGAAGCUAACGCAUUAAGCGCCCCGCCUGGGGAGUACGGCCGCAAGGCUA